RNAcentral lists this transfer RNA (59 nucleotides) under Hemiselmis tepida. Lineage: Eukaryota; Cryptophyceae; Cryptomonadales; Hemiselmidaceae. The record is from RNAcentral.
CUAGGAUUAAAAAAUAGUGGAGAAAUAAGUGUUUUGUUUGGAAAUUUAUUUGAUUAUUC